This 880-nucleotide long non-coding RNA is filed under the name Setaria viridis. RNAcentral's name for it is "long non-coding RNA (SVIR_LNC003056)". The record is from RNAcentral. Lineage: Eukaryota; Viridiplantae; Streptophyta; Magnoliopsida; Poales; Poaceae.
AUCAAAGUUGUGCUAAAAAUUAUCCGAUAAGAAGUUGCUUAUACGAAGUUAUGCGUGGAAGUUAUGUAUAUAAGUUAUAAUAUUCUAAAAAUGGAAAAUCACGGGAUUUAAAACAUUCCCAAAGUGGAAAGUUCAGGGAUGUCACGAAUCGAUGGCUGGAAGCCAUCCUAGCACGCGUUAAUUCGCCUGUGUUGAUAUUUUUUAUCAAACAAGUAUACAAUCUAAUAGAAGGCAAAACGGUACGGGAUGAUCGGUGGGCCGGCUGGUGGUUAGCCACGUGGGGAGCUUCCAUAUGCCUUUUGGACAGUAGAUAAGCAACAUAUAUUAAAAGCUAAUGUUAAUCCCAUAUAUAAUUUUUUUUAAACAUCCAGCAACAGACAGUAUCAAUAAUUUUUAAAAAUCUAGCUUAAUUGUCAUCAACAUUUCUUUACGUUGACCACCAUUUUUAUAUGUACCAACAAUUUUUUAACUUUUUUUCAUCACUAACAUUAUUGCUCAACAAUUUUUUACGCACACCAACUCUUUUAUUUCAUCCACCAACAUUAUUUUGCUCAGCAUUGUUUUUACACUCACCAGCUUUUUUACGUUAAAAAAUGUUGAGAUAGUUCAUCUAUAAUGUUGACUUUUAAAAACUACAACAAAAUAUAGUCAUUUUAUUGCACUAAAUCUAAAUAACACUCAAACGGAAUAAAAAAUGGAGUUGCGGAGUUACGGUUUGAAACAAAAAUAUAUUUUAAGAUUGCAAAUCAAUUUAAUGCUCCCACCGAUAUGACCAACCAGAUCGUGACACAUGUUACGCCCACUCCUCUCUACCACUCACGUGCAUCUCAGCCAUUUAUUUAUUUCUUGCAGGAAUCUUGAAAGUGGAAGUAAUACUCCC